UGACUCACGCGGGAAUCUUACCGGGUCCGGACACAUUGAGGAUUGACAGAUAUAUUCACUUUUUAGUGGGAAAGAUGCUAGUUCUUUCAUGAUUAUGUGAUAGGUGGUGCAUGGCCGUUCUUAGUUCGUGGAGUGAUCUGUCUGCUUAAUUGCGUUUCACUUAAAAAUAUAUUUUAUUCACCCAGUGAAUAAUUUAUAAAAU
Molecule: ribosomal RNA, 202 nt
Filed under: Elphidium sp. S14
Lineage: Eukaryota; Foraminifera; Rotaliida; Elphidiidae
Description: partial small subunit ribosomal RNA
Rfam family: Eukaryotic small subunit ribosomal RNA
Source: RNAcentral